This 528-nucleotide unclassified non-coding RNA is filed under the name Hevea brasiliensis (rubber tree). Lineage: Eukaryota; Viridiplantae; Streptophyta; Magnoliopsida; Malpighiales; Euphorbiaceae. The record is from RNAcentral.
AUUAAAAAAAAUUUAAAAAAAAAAAAGACAAGGUUAGAAAAUGAAAUACAACGAAAAAACAGGCACCAUGUAGAAAGAUGUAUGCCAAGUAAAUAAUCAAAUGAAGAACCAAUCAGUAAAAGAAGUAACAAAACUUUAUAUAGGCCUCGAUUGAGGCUGAAGCUGGGAGGCUAGAAAAGAGACAUUGGCAAAACAGGUAUAUUUCACAGAAGAGACACCAUGAGAGAGUUCUUCUCACAUGUUAACAGCUCAUCACAGCAAAGGAUCUCAGUUACAAAUCAUCCGGGUGGUUAACUUAGGUAAUCCAUUUUAUUUGACAAAAUCAAUCUAAAAGUGCUAUAUAAAGUCCCAUGCUAAUACAUUGGAUAAACAAUUUAAAAACAUCAUGUUUCAAUAUUGAAAAGCAAGUGAACAAACAAUAGGAAACACUGCUUAUUUGCUACAGAUCCAUUUGCAAUGGUUACAGAUCAUUUGUCAUGUUUCAACCACUAAAAGCAAUUUAACAAAGAAGCAAAUAAGAUAGUAAAA